GCCAAAAAUAAAUGCAUUAAAUAUAUUUAAAGUGUUUACAACCUAAAUCGAUUGGAUUUAGGACAUAAUACUUACAUGAAUAUCAUCGAUGAUUGUCCUCUCUAUCUGGAUUUACAUUUAUGAGAGCAUAUACAUCCCGAGAGCAAAGAGAAUCUUGAAAAGGAACUGAAGAUUGACAAUAAAACAGAGAAUCGGAGCUGGGAUUAUCAUGUCAAUCCUAUGCAUGGAGUCAGCAGGCAUCGUUGAAAAGAAACGUCGAUAAUCAGCUCUAGAACAGGGUUCAUUUGCUUCAUCUCUCCAUGUUGCAGCUCUAUUGCCUCAGUUCUUCUUUUCUGGCCUAACAGAAGCAUUUGCUGCUGUUGCUGUCAUGAUUUUUAACCACACAGAUGUCAGAAAACAUGAGUAGUGUUGCAGGAGCACUGUUUUUCCUAAGCCUGUCAAUUGCAAGUUAUCUAAGUUCCCUUAUUGUUAAUGUUAUACAUUCUGUGACUGGAGAAAAUGGAAAAUUCCCAUGGCUUGGAGGCCAUGAUCUUAACGAGAACCGGUUCGAAUACUACUAUUUCAUCGUUGCUGCAUUAGGCUCCACCUACUUGAUAUAUUACACUUUCUUUGCCAGCAGUUGUGUCAAGUGCAAAAUCCAUCAAAUUGGGAAAAGAAUUGCAUUUGGAGAAUUCAGUAGGUAGCCCAGCCACUAGGAAACACGAGGAACGAGGUGGAUUGGACUCAGGUGCAACUUAAAAUGGUGACUCAAAAGGCUAGGUUUGAGCAGUGAAUCCUCAUUUGGAUUAUUUAUCAUGGAUGGGCAGAAAAUUCUGAAACUAGGAGGCUAUUUCAGAUUAUGCUUUAUAUAUAAAGUUGGAUGUAACAAAACAGUGUACUAAUGGUACACACUGGAAUUGGAAUUGCUUAAACUUUCACUACCCAAUAUAGAUAUUAAACAGAAAACCACGUGUAACCUAGCAAUGAUACAGCAGGCAUCGAGGACGAUUUAAUCAGGGAAGCAUAAUGAUCAUGGUAUGUCAUCUCUUUACAAAUUAAACAAUAAACAUUUGAAGCCAGUAAGCAUUUCAAAAGUGAGAACAACCAACAUUUAGGAUGUGUUCUCUUUACCGUUUUCGGGCCGUUUUCUGUUUUCAGUUUUUCAAAACGGUGAAAACACGUUUUCUUUCCCGUUUUUGAAAACGAAAAAAAAAUUUGUGAAAAAAACACAAAACGACAUUUUCGUUUUGGACCUCUUCAGUACAAAACUGGAAAAAAUUGAAAACGCGAGAAAUGAUUCAAAAAUGGCAAAAACAAUGUAUUUUCAACAAUUUCAAAAUAGAAACUUAAAACACAAAACCCAAAAUGAAUUCAAAAUUCAAAACUACAAAAUUGAUAUACGAAGAGAAAACCCACUUUUGCUCAGCAACCAUUCUUGUGGUUUUUCAAAUAGUAUCGAAG
Molecule: long non-coding RNA, 1440 nt
Filed under: Olea europaea subsp. europaea
Lineage: Eukaryota; Viridiplantae; Streptophyta; Magnoliopsida; Lamiales; Oleaceae
Source: RNAcentral